GUUGAGAGGAAUGUUGUCUGGCUCGAGGUCAUUGAGGUGUAUAUGUGUAUAUAUAAUGAUAUAUAUAUCAAGUGUUUCAGUUUUCAGGGUAAAUUAAUGGAAAUUAAUCUAUACCCUAAAUGAUUCUCGGACCAGGCUUCAUUCCCCCCAGC
Molecule: microRNA precursor, 152 nt
Filed under: Phaseolus vulgaris (common bean)
Lineage: Eukaryota; Viridiplantae; Streptophyta; Magnoliopsida; Fabales; Fabaceae
Description: pre miRNA mir-166
Rfam family: mir-166 microRNA precursor family
About the family: This family represents the plant microRNA (miRNA) precursor mir-166.
Source: Rfam by way of RNAcentral